This 1467-nucleotide long non-coding RNA is filed under the name Equus caballus (horse). RNAcentral's name for it is "lncRNA (ENSECAG00000048545.1)". Lineage: Eukaryota; Metazoa; Chordata; Mammalia; Perissodactyla; Equidae. The record is from RNAcentral.
CAAAGAGCAUCGAAGAUGUUUCUAAGUACAUAAGUUAAGGACUCGCUGCAGGUAGAAGUUGAAAUGCACCACAGAGUAGGUGGGCAGGAAGUCCUCUACUUAGUUCAGUUGCCUCCAGAGACACAAUUCCCGGAAAGUCUUGGGAAGAAUGUCCCACCUUGUUCUGUGACUAAUUGGGGAGAACAAACCUUGGCAAAGGGCCAGGUGCACAGAGAGGACCCAAGUAAGAACAGUCAAGCCAGGCAUCCUUCUUUGAAUCAGGAUUAGUUGGAGAAAAGGUGUCAGGAAGAGGUGGAACCACCCAUUCCCCUACUUCCCCCUGGCGAGAGUAAGAAAUGGCAGUGGAUGCUUUCCCAGAGUCUGGAGACCCGGGCUACAUGAAUAGCCUCUAACAGAAAAAUAUCCCCUGGACUAAGAGGCUGAGUCAUGCGCUCAGGUAUGGACUUAGGUAUCUGAGUGCCUACCCCUAAGUGUCCUGUUAUAAACCCAGACACCACUGUCUCUCUGCCCUCUCUGAGCUCACAUUCUAGAAGAUAAGAUUAUUUUCCAUAUUUUCCCCCAAAUUGAAAAUUCAUUCCCAGAGCCAUAUAAUGACAUGGAAGGGCUCACAUAAUUUUCGGGUCUUUUAAAAGGCUUAGUUUAAUGGAUAGUAAAACCUCACACAUUCAACACCUCAUUAAUUCUCAGACAAGCUUGAAAAUUUUGGUAUAACUCAGGAUUUCAGUGUCGUUAGAUUAUAUAAUUUGGGCCUGUUGUGAAUCCAAAUUUUUUCAUCACUUCGCUUCAGUUUUAGCUAUUGAUAUUGGUAUAUCAAUAUUGCUAAUGUACAACAUUAGGAAAUUAAAACUGAUUUUCUUGAAAAAAUUUGCUUUCUGUGAUCUGGGCUUAACUGAUUCAAACAUGGCCUUUCUUGCAUCCAAGUCAGCAGGGUUUUGGGUAAUAAAAUUUGUUGAAAUGAUCAAUUUGGUGAGUUGUCAAAAUACAUGGCACAAGCUUCUUUAAUGUCAUUUUCUGUUUUGUUUUAAAUAUUAGACCCAUAUUUUGUAAAUUAUAAUUGUACUCAUUACUAUUAACUGUAAAUAUUUAUUGCAUUAAAAAUGUGCUCUGUGUUAAAUAACUCAGAACAAGUUCCAGGUGCGGUACUUUGUGUAAACAAUGUCAUGGCUUGGCUUCGCCUAGACUCCUUAGACUAAUGAAUUAUUUAUAAGAAAUUCACAAUAUUAAUAUGAAUGACUCAGAUCCUUUUAAAUGUGCAAACUUAACUGUGUGACCAUGUAAAAUUCUAUGAAAUGUGCUCAGUGAUUGUAUUCUUAUUUUUCAAGAAAUGUUUCCAAUGCUUCUAUCACGUUGUACUUGGUCUGUAUGACAUUAAGUCAAAUCCCAUGUAGUAAGCUGAAUAGUCAAGUUGUAGAAGAUAAGAAAUGUGUUUUAUUUCUUAAUAUAAUAAAGCAUAAUUUAUGAAAUGGA